Molecule: ribosomal RNA, 421 nt
Filed under: uncultured bacterium
Lineage: Bacteria
Description: bacterial SSU rRNA
Rfam family: Bacterial small subunit ribosomal RNA
Source: RNAcentral
UGGGGAAUUUUGGACAAUGGGCGCAAGCCUGAUCCAGCAAUGCCGCGUGCAGGAUGAAGGCCUUCGGGUUGUAAACUGCUUUUGUACGGGAAGAAACACUCCUACGUGUAGGAGCUUGACGGUACCUGAAGAAUAAGCACCGGCUAACUACGUGCCAGCAGCCGCGGUAAUACGUAGGGUGCAAGCGUUAAUCGGAAUUACUGGGCGUAAAGCGUGCGCAGGCGGUUAUGCAAGACAGAGGUGAAAUCCCCGGGCUCAACCUGGGAACUGCCUUUGUGACUGCAUAGCUAGAGUACGGUAGAGGGGGAUGGAAUUCCGCGUGUAGCAGUGAAAUGCGUAGAUAUGCGGAGGAACACCGAUGGCGAAGGCAAUCCCCUGGGCCUGCACUGACGCUCAUGCUCGAAAGCGUGGGGAGCAAACA